UCCUUCGAUCUAUUUCCCUUUUAGAAUAUAAUGUCUUCUUAUUCAGGGGAUUUUACAAUAUUGACUUAAUUAUUGCAAUUAAUAUGUGAGAUAAUAUAUUUUAGAAGUGUAGUGGUCGAAUGCGUUGGAGCAUUUUCUAAAAGUGAUUUGAACCUUAAAUCAAAUUUUGCAGAAAAUUCUAAUUUUGGCCCACGAUGGAUAUCCAACUUUGAAGAGUUUAAUCAUUUUGUGUUAAAAACAAAAGGAGUUAACUGAAUCAUCUUUGCUGGUUAUCGUGUUGCAUUAAUUGAAAAUUUUUAAAAUUGAAUUUUAAUGAUUUUAAUUACAGGUAUUAUAAACAAUGUAUAAGGAAAUUUUCAUUAUACCUAAAUGAAUUAUUGUACUAAAUGGAAAGAAUGACUCAAAUUGAUGAAGGAUUAUGUUUUGUGUUCAGUUUUGGUGUUUAUGUUGUUAAAUGCAGGUGAUUAAGCUCAGCUUCCAUCAUAAAAACUAGUAGUUUGAAAUUUAAAUUUAAACUAGUAGUGGUGUUAGACUUGUUAUCACUUUGAUAAUACCUGCUACAGGAGAGACUUUCAUCUUUCAUUUCAUAUGGGAUUAUAUAUUUAGGGUCCCUUUGUGGUAGUAGUCUCCUCGACCUAUAUUAAUUAGUCUUGUAAAUUUAAGAGCAGUUGAUUAGAAAUGGGUUUGAUAGCUUCCUGUUGGCUGCUUGUCGAAUCUUUCGUCGUCCCACAUGGAUUUGUCAAGUGGUUUUUGUUGAGUUUGUACAUUCAUCCAUUCUUUCUUGUUUUCUGCCAACUCUUUUAUGAUGCUCUUGAACCAGCAACUGAGCAUAUUGCGGUACAAGAUUGCCAGCUUUUUAUUGGUCGAAGUAGAUUCGAAUCAAUAGAAGAAAUAGUUGGCAAUUGCUAUGUUAAAGAUUCAUGGCGGAAUCAGUACUUGUUUUCUGAUCAUUACAAUUACACUACGUCUGCACUGAUCAUAUACGAUGUUAACAUGUCGGAAAUCAUGGAGGAGGAAGCUUCAACGAUCAAGUCGGCUAGCAAAUCAUGGUACAAGACCAUGAUCUCGGAUAGUGACUACACAGAAUUUGAGAACUUCACAAAGUGGUUGGGUGCGUCUCAGUGAUUCAAAUCUUGAUUUAAGUUGGCUAGCAAAUCAUGGUCCGUGUAAACACCCGACUCCUUUAUCAACAAACUAAAUUUAACUUGCUUCGUGAAGAAAGUGAGGGCUAUGCCAAACUGGUUACUCUCCUGUGUCAAGUUCCUGAAGUAUCGACUGAAAAUCAAUCAGCUGCAACAGUUGGCAUAAUUAAGUCUUUAAUAGGUCACUUUGAUCUGGACCCCAAUCGCGUUUCACCAUAUAACUUCAUGAACUUGUCUUGCAUCCUUAUGCUUACUAUAUUCCUCAUCCUUAUAACUUCAGUAGAUUUCUAAUCUUAAUUCUCUGACGCGACAUAGGUAUGUGGAAGCAUUUUGCCAUCUUCAGUUAUAUCUUUAUAUUGCAUGUACCUCUGCUACAGUGGACUUGCCAGUGAACCUAGGGAUUACGAAUGCAAUGGUCUUCGCAAGCAUUCUAGAGCAGUUUCAACCAGUAGUUUUGCCCUUGGGCUGCUCACAAUAGUUUUAUCUGUUGUUUAUUCUGUUGUCUGAGCAGGAUCUUCUACAAUGUUGCUUUCUCCUCCAAGCUCUCCACGAGCAGGUUCUGGGAGGCCUUUGCUACCAUUAGACAAGGCAGACGAGCAGUACGAAGAGAAAGAGAAAGAGAAGUCGAAGCCAGUCACAUACUCAUACUCAUUUUUCCACUUAUUCUUGUCCUUGGCUAGCAUGUAUUCCGCCAUGCUGCUCACAGGUGUACGGCGCGCAAUAGCAGUCAGGGGUACGUAGGAAGAUGUGGCAUUUUGUUUGAUUUUUGGAAUUGAUUUUCAAUCUGGAAAUGAUGAAAGAAUUUGGUGACAAUUGUGUUGAACACCAUUUUAUGUUAAUGUUUGGAUGUAAAUUAAAUGACUACUUUAGGUACUUUGAAGCUACAAUGUUUGGAAGUUUAAGUUAUUUUAUAUAAUAUAUUUUUUCGAUUGUAUUA
Salvia miltiorrhiza (redroot sage) is the source of this 2079-nucleotide long non-coding RNA. RefSeq lists it as uncharacterized. The transcript has 7 exons. NCBI's taxonomy places the organism in Eukaryota, Viridiplantae, Streptophyta, Magnoliopsida, Lamiales, Lamiaceae. The record is from RefSeq and is a predicted model, not a curated record.